AGGUGAAAAGCACCCCGGAAGGGGAGUGAAAGAGAUCCUGAAACCGUGUGCCUACAAAUAGUCAGAGCCCGUUAAUGGGUGAUGGCGUGCCUUUUGUAGAAUGAACCGGCGAGUUACGAUCCCGUGCGAGGUUAAGUUGAAGAGACGGAGCCGCAGCGAAAGCGAGUCUGAAUAGGGCGUUUAGUACGUGGUCGUAGACCCGAAACCAGGUGAUCUACCCAUGUCCAGGGUGAAGUUCAGGUAACACUGAAUGGA
Molecule: ribosomal RNA, 255 nt
Filed under: Bacillus toyonensis
Lineage: Bacteria; Bacillati; Bacillota; Bacilli; Caryophanales; Bacillaceae
Description: partial 23S ribosomal RNA
Rfam family: Bacterial large subunit ribosomal RNA
Source: RNAcentral